CUGGCCCCUCAGUAUACCAUUUCUGGAUCUCAGAAUUAUCCAUGUAAAUUUGCAUCAACCUGCUGCUGAGCUUACUGCCUGAUCGAAGUAUACUAUCAGAAACCAAGCAGUGCUGAGAAAAAAAGAAAGAGAAAAGGAAAUGAAUGCACCCAAUUUGUGGGCAAACACCUAGCUGAUCCAGAUGGAUGUCCCCUCACUACGGUUUUUGAAGAACUGCCACAUGGUUUUUCACAAUGGUUGAACUAAUUUGCACUCCCACCAACAGUGUUGCACUUCUGAGGAUUGAAAUAUGGAAAGCAUCUUCUUUCAAAAGGAAAUAUCACCAAGAAGAAAGGCUCUAUCAGCAUGUAGCUUGGAACCAAAUGAGAUCCGAGGCUAAUAAAAGUUCUGAAGCCUGACCUUGCAGACAUCCCUACACCUUACACAGCAUUCAACCCAGACAAGGCGUAAUAGCCAACAUAAACCAUGCUCAAAUCCUGUUACCACUUACAGAUUUCCAAAUUGCCAGCCAAUAAAAUGGAAGAGAACCUGCGCAUCCACAUGUAGGAAAUAAAGAUAAAAAUUAGGUGAAAAAUAUAAUGGUUAGCAUUGGGAGGAGGGCAUAGGGGAUGGGAGGCUCAGGACAAAACACUAGAUACCAGCAGUAAAAUGGAAGAGAAAAGCUCACUGCGGCCAUUCUAAUUGCCAUGGAAUCAAGCCAAUAGGAGUAAAUGAAAGCAGCCUGGGUUUUAGUGUUUCGUCUUUUUCUGUUUGCACUGUUUUGUUUGCUUUUUAUCUUCUGUAAGGAUUAUAAAGCCAGACAUCCAGUAAAAUGAGAAACAUGGAAAACACAGUAAAGUUCCUGGCUCAUAUUAAUUGACAAAAUAAAUAUUAAUGGAGUUCUUCCUUCCUCUUCAGUAUAUAUCCAGUGUUAGAGAAUUUGCUGAUACUACCACUAUCAUCUCCGGUAAAUAAUUAGGCAUACUUUUCCCUUAGGGAUUUUGUUGUUGUUUUGUGAUUUGUUUUACUCAUUGUUCUGGUUUUUAACACUUGAUUUCACAUGACAGACCGAGAAAUUUGAAAAACCGUAUUUCUUGUAUGCUAUCCUAUUUCUUGGCUAAACAUUUCAUU
Molecule: long non-coding RNA, 1110 nt
Organism: Pan troglodytes (chimpanzee)
Lineage: Eukaryota; Metazoa; Chordata; Mammalia; Primates; Hominidae
Exons: 3
Source: RefSeq, a predicted model, not a curated record